AACGAACGCUGGCGGCAGGCUUAACACAUGCAAGUCGAACGGGUGUAGCAAUACAUCAGUGGCAGACGGGUGAGUAACACGUGGGAACCUUCCUAGGGGUACGGAACAACUCAGGGAAACUUGAGCUAAUACCGUAUACGUCCGUGAGGAGAAAGAUUUAUCGCCCUUAGACGGGCCCGCGUCGGAUUAGCUAGUUGGUGGGGUAACGGCCUACCAAGGCGACGAUCCGUAGCUGAUCUUAGAGGAUGAUCAGCCACACUGGGACUGAGACACGGCCCAGAGUCCUACGGGAGGCAGCAGUGGGGAAUCUUGGACAAUGGGCGCAAGCCUGAUCCAGCCAUGCCGCGUGAGUGAAGAAGGUCUUCGGAUUGUAAAGCUCUUUUGCCAGGGACGAUAAUGACGGUACCUGGAGAAUAAGCCCCGGCAAACUUCGUGCCAGCAGCCGCUGUAA
Molecule: ribosomal RNA, 451 nt
Filed under: uncultured bacterium
Lineage: Bacteria
Description: partial 16S ribosomal RNA
Rfam family: Bacterial small subunit ribosomal RNA
Source: RNAcentral